Marmota monax (woodchuck) is the source of this 719-nucleotide long non-coding RNA. RefSeq lists it as uncharacterized. Lineage: Eukaryota; Metazoa; Chordata; Mammalia; Rodentia; Sciuridae. The record is from RefSeq and is a predicted model, not a curated record. The transcript is spliced from 2 exons.
UGGGUGGGACCUGUUUUUAGUGUGUCCAAAGAAGAAGAUUGUGUUAUUUACUGGUCUAAUCAUCAAAUGCUGCUUAUUCAGCAUUCCAGUGUGCUGUGAUGAAAUCGGGCCAUGUCACCUGUGCAGGCCAACCAAGGACCAGUCAGCUCAAUGUGAGGGUAACUUCAUUUACAAUUUUUCCACCAUAGAGAAGCCCCAAUCCAAGCAUAAGAAAUGCAAGCUGGUCACUAGGGGACGUUCAACUUCCCCAGCCAAAGGAGCCCGGAUCAGGACACAAAUAAGUCCAGGCCCCACCAUUCCACAGAAUGCCAGAUCCCAGGAAGCUCCCGGCUGGCACAGUCUGGCUGGCCAACCACCCCUGGAGCCCAGGCGGUCUCAUUUCCAGCAGGUCGGUUGAGGUGGCUAAGGGACAAGGCACUAGGCAACAACCAAUCAGGUGCCAACAGACAAGCAGUGAUAACCACCUGCCAAUCAGCGGGGUCUCCUGACUGAUCCUGGAAAGACAUGGAGCUCAGCAAGAUCCCCGGCCAACCCCAGGAGGACAAAGAUCCUAAAAACCUCCCUUCCUGCCCUAAGCCCAAUAAAAUUCCAGUCCGGCUGAGCCUGGGUACGACUCCCCCGGACCCCCUCUGUUGGACAGAAGGGUCUCUUUCGGGAGUGAAUCUCAAUAAUCUGCCUCCUUUUGGUCACCGGCGCCUGACCUUACACUUUUCACUUAA